Molecule: non-coding RNA, 11761 nt
Organism: Callithrix jacchus (white-tufted-ear marmoset)
Lineage: Eukaryota; Metazoa; Chordata; Mammalia; Primates; Cebidae
Source: RefSeq, a predicted model, not a curated record
CCCAGGCUUCUUUCAUCUGUGGGCCUGUUAUCCUCUAGGGCCUCAAUGGCAUCUGCACCUAGCCAGCAAAAAGAGAAGAAGGGCAUGGAGAAGGCACACUCAAUUUUUAAAAACCUUGACCCAGAAGUGAUACACAACAUUUCUAUUCACAUUCCUUGGGUAAGAAUAGUCAUAUGGCUAUCUCUGGCUACAAAGAGGACUGAUAAAUGUGUCCCUUCUGAGCCAUAAUUCCAUAUCAUGGAAGAAAGAACAUGAGCUUUGAUGGCCAACUAGCUAUCUUGGCCACAGGUGGACAGCUCACCCACACUUACGCUAUGAGAAAUUAGCAUUUCCCCUUUUCUUAAACAAGAAAACUGAGGCUCAGAUGGGGUAAGCAAUUGAUGUAUAUUUACGUUCUUAGGAAGGAGCCAAGUCAAGAGUUGCAUGUAUAUACCUUAUAAAGCCUGUAUCUUCCCUCUCUCCCUCUUUUCUCCCUCCUGUCCAUCUCUCUCCCAUCUGUUUUUCUCCCUCAAUUCUUUUGUUUAUUCUCUUCUAUCAUUCUAAACCUUGAAAAUUUCUAAAACAUGAACAUUUUGCUUCUGUAACCUUGUAUGUUUUCAACACGAUUGUUCUUUUUGGUUUGAAGAUUGUCCCCAUGGGAUAUCUUUAACCUAGAGAUUUGCCUAAAGCAUAUGAGAUGGUUUCUGAAGCCUUCAUUUUGCUCUCAAAGGUACAGGAAAGUUACCAAUGAUAGAAAAGAGACAUUUCUAAAAAGCAAAUCUGAUACUGUCACUCCCUUACAGAAUAAUACUUGAUGUGUACCUAUCACUUUCAAAGUAGAGAUCUCACUACCUUAGCAUAUAAAGUCAUCUUUUUAUAUGCAUCUUGACUUAGCAUAUAAAGUUGUCUGUGAUUUAGCCCCUAAAUGCCUCCCUGACCUUCACUCAGACCUCAGGCAGUUUCUUGGAAGACCUGCACUUCUUCCACACUUAUCCUGCGUUCCCCUGUUGGCCUGGCCCCUGCCUCCAAACACGCAUUUUCCUAUUGCAUUCUGUGAUUCCAAAGUAGGCCCUACUGAAGACUACAGCACUAGACUGGAAUUGUUGACUCGCGUGUAGAUUUUGUGUGUUUUUCCCUAUUUGACUGUGGGCUCCUCAAAGACAGCAGCUUGUCCGAUUUAUUUUUAUCUACCAAGUGUCCAACACAGGGUGUGACACAAAGCUUGUGCCCAUUCUGUAAGGUUUAUUGUCCUGUGGGGUUUAUUGCCGAGUUUAAAAUGAGGAAACUGAGGCCAGCAUAAGUAAAUUAAAUGCCAACUUAUUUAACUCCUGGACGAGGUUCCAUGGUCCCAGAGAAAGGGGCCAGGGAAGUCGCACCUGACUCCUCUAGGGCGUGGGGUUUUAUAGGGAGGGAAGGCAUUUGAUUGGCUGUGGAGAAACAGGACGUGGACUGGGCAAGCUGCUAUUGGUAGGUAUGUGGGAUUUCUGGUGAGUGGGCUGUGUGCCAAGUGCAGAGUUUAGUGUUGAGUGCAGAUUCUGGUGCGGAGUGCAGAAGUGGGCGUGUUGAGGGCAGAUUCUGGUGACGUAAUUUUCAGGCAUGGAGAGGGAUGGGCGUGUCCGAGCUCCCGGCGAGGCAACCGGUCUUACACGUUCAAUCUGAAGUGCACACAAGAAGGGAUUAACCACUGCUAAGCUGCAAGACAGGCAUCAGAAGAAACUGGUUUCACAUCCACCGGCAAUUCAAAAUGAGAAAAUAUGAUGCUGGCAUGCUAAUCGCGUGAGACGGCUUGGCCCACGGACAGCCACAAAGCACAAAAACAAAACACAAACUCAGAAGAGACAAGGAUCGUGUUUUCCUGGCGUCUACGAGAAGCGCUUUAUUUUUCCUCUAGAUUUCUUUUUUAACAAAAACGGAAACAUUUAAAAACACAGUACAAACUGCAGGUGAUCAUCUUCAAGCCUGUUCUUUUAUUAAGCAUAGGUUGGGAGGCACAGGCGGACGUUUAAGCAGAAAGCCAAGGCAAGACAACAGACUGACUGAUGGAAGGAAUCAAUAUUCCUUGCUCUCCAGAAUAUCCUGUGUGUUCUUGAGGACACACACCUCCCUGCCUGUCAAGGUAUCUAAGGAAUGCUUUGAAAAAUUUAUUUUCUAUAGACUUUAAAGAAUUUUUUUGUGUAGCACUGGCAAAGGAGUCUAUGACACGUACUUUGCCCCCCAGGAGCUCUGCCACUCCAUCUUGGUGUCACAGCCAUCCUGCCCAGCUGGGGCAAGUUUCUGAGAGUUGUCUCCCCAGCAAUUGCCAAGCUGGCUCAGUAUGGCCAGGAUGCAAGAAACAAUUAUCUGCUGGAUCGAUGCAGCAAGGAGCAGUAAACACUUGCUUUUUCUUCCCUAAGUAGGAGACAGCACGCCCCUGGCUGCAGUGGUGACCAUGCUGGAAGCUGGGUGAGUCAAGGGGACCCCAGGAUACUGUCUAAUAGUAAGAAAGAGAAAAUUGCUUGUGCUUCUCCAGGGAGAUAAAGAACCAGAACCCACCCAGGUUACUUUCAAACAAGCAGGCCACCACCAGAACGCAAAGAAACCUAUGCUGAGCCCCAGAAAAGCACCUUUACCCCUAAAAUUCCCUGCUUCCCAUUCGUACUUAACAUUCUUCAUGCGGUUGGGACUGCUCUGAUUUCCUUUCCUCUUGCGGAUCUCUGUUAGAGGGACACGGAAACCCCCUAAGGUUGGAAGGGGUCCAGCCUCGGCAGUUCCGUGGGCGCACACGCAGAGCGGGUCUGUGCGCCCAUGGUCUCGGAGCUCCGCUUAGCCGGACUGGCUGCCAAGCCGUUCUUGGAUCAGCCUCUCGCUGAGCGCCCACAGGGCCCGGGCCGUCUCUUCGCUCUGCGCUUCUGGCGAGGGCAUGCAGCGGCAGCAGUUGUUGAAAUACAUGCCUCCCAGACCCUCCAGUUCUGGGGCGGCAGCACAAUAGACGGUCGUGGCAGCUCCCUGUUGCUGGGAAUCAAAGAAGAAAGACAAACAUGUUUUAAGAAGAGGAGUCAUGGGAUGGCAUCAGCAAAUCUCCCCCACUUGGUGGUUUCAGCUGGAUCUUGGCAUAGCAAAGGCUACUGGGCUGAAAGCACAUGACUGAAAAGUAUACUGUGACUAUCCUGGAAAAACGAGUUCAUAAACUCCGCUUGUAAAGCUGGUGUGACUUUUGACACCUCGUAUAGAACAGGCUUGGAAAAUAAAUACAUGUCGUGGCAGGCGCCUCGUCUACACAGGAAGGAAAACGAUAUCCUUCUGAUAGUGCAAGAGCACAUUCAUCCAACCCCUCGACGUCUCAAUGUAGAAUGUCACUUGAUACCAACUUGUUUGUAGAACCUUCUGUCUGACAAACCAACCACUCUUAAUUAUGGCCCAUCAGGUAGAAAACCCAAGUGGAGCUGGUGCCAGAUCCUCCCUUUAUGCUCUGCCCACAGUGCUGCUAGGGGAACGGUGGGCAAGGCUGUGUUAAAACAUUUAAUGCACACACCCACAUACUCCCCAGCAUACAUGACUAUCUAGCACAUCUCUUAAUUCAUCCAGAACCUAUGAAAACUACUUUUUCCUAAAUGUUGUAUUUGUCCCGGAUCUCCAACGGGACCAUGGCUAAGCGGUCCAUUUCCUCCCCGCCCACUUCAAGAUGUAAGUUGCAAAGAGUACAGUUGAUCACUUUUGAUUCACCUUUUGAGUAACAGUUGGGGCUAGGGCUAGGGAUGUGUGCACUGAUGGUGCAUCAUAUCAUCUGUACUGACAAAAUACAGUCAGGGAUGCUGUAAAGAGGGCAAGAAAUCACUUUGCUUUGCAAGCCAUAAUUAAAAAUAAUAGGCUGCUGUUCAGAGGGAGACAUGGUCGGCACGUCUCUAAUUUAAAACCAAUACAGUUUAUCUGGCAUCUUAUGAUUAUUUAUGUGUUUCACAGCCCUAGCUGCAUCCACUAAUUUUCAGCUCAUAGGGAGCAGGGUUGCAAAAGAGGACCAGACAAGAUGAUAACGGAAGGUAAGGCAGCCCCCACCAGGAAGACGGUAAGGAACUUUGAUUGCGGGGGAAACGGCUUUCCGACCUCACCCGAAGUUUAUCACUUUUUUUUUUUUAACCUCUGCAGGGUUUUAACUCUGAGCAUGCAGGGUGCUUAGGGGAGGACUUUCCCUCACAUGGUUUGGUUUGCCAUCACUAUGCUUGUAUUCUAGGGAGCCAGGGCCAUUCUGAGAACCAGGGGCCCGUGGAAGGUGUUAACGAUCUGAAGAAGGUGGAUAAGGCAGACGUGGGUUUGCUGUUGCUUGCUUUUGGUUUCUUCAGUGUCAGGGUCUGUAGUUAAUCUAUGUUGGUCUGAAAAUGGAAUGGUCAAAUGCAGUCAAGUGACAUGACUCUGGCAGGGGUGUGGACAGUGCAUGAGACGAGCACUUGGAUUUCGAAAAUAAGUGGCUGCUUGGUGAUAUCAGGGAAGUCCCAGUAACUAACUGAUAUGUCUUGAACUGACUUAAACAGUAACUGGUUACCGCCCCAGUCUCCUACCGUAACCACGCCCACUCCAAAUAGCCAGAUAUUAUCCUAGAUUCAGCUAGUUCUUUUCCAUUGAUUUCUGUGGGUCAAGUCUAAUGGAACAGAAUUCGUGUCAUCCAACUUUCCUUUCACUGAAUUAUGAUUCCUCAUAACCCUCGGCUUAGCAGCUGGCACAUGUAUCUAAACAACUUCAAGAGGCCCAUCUGACUCUUCUGCAUCCCAUGUGGGGAAAAGGGAAGCAGGCGUGCCUCUAAAGACAAACUGGAGAAUGGAGAUGCUCAUCCAGCUAAUUCAAGCCAAAUAUCACCUGAACUGAGCUAAGAAUUCAGACCGAGAUAGUGCUUUGCAUGAACAUCCAGCUCUCUGUCACAGAUUUCCAUUUUAUGCUGCCAAAACCACCAGAGUGGCCCAGUGCCCGCGUGGUGAGAGAAUCCAGCCCACUAAUUUCAGUCCAGCAACCCCCCACGCCCACGCCGCAAUGACUAUACUAUUCAGUAUUGAAACGUCAUGACACAGUGGCCUUUCAGUGUUCUGGUAAUCCUAACACCAAAGGAGUCCACUAGGGAAAGCACAAAGCAGAAUUCUUCCUAAACUGAAAGAGUAUUUUACCAUUAUAACCUUCCGAAAUGAUGCAGUGGGGUACUCUUGCAUCAUUGGAAUGGUAUUUUAGCAAAGAAAUUCUUCAGUCUCAUGGAUUCCUAAUGCAGUCGAUGCGGGAGCUGGCGGGGGCGGGGGGGCUGCAUUGUCCUUCCAUGGACUCUGAAAGCAAUUGCAGUUGGCCAGAUUUCAUGCAAACCUCUGUUCAGCUACACUGCUGAGAGCCGCACCUUUUUUCAGACGUGGCCUUUGCUUCCUUUGCCACUAGGCUUCGGGUGAUCCACUCUCUACGUUACUUCGCAAGUGGCUCUGGCUUUGUAGAGGAACACAGUAUACCGCAGGGACACUCGAAAACAAAGACUACCUUCUCGACUCCGAAAAUCAAUCGUGCACAUUUGGCAAAUUCUCCUUCUCAGAUUCAUGCUUGGUGCUCAUGGGUACUCCACUUUCCUCCCUUGCUAGACAAUCGAGCAGUAACAAUACCCUGUUGUUGGUCCCAUGCCCACCAGCUCUUUAGUUUCUUGGAUAAUUCUCUUUACAACUGUACCAAUGGCAACCUCUGAGUGACAUCUUUAGAUGAUCACAUGUGACAACACGUUUUAAUAACAAGUUCUCAUGUCUGGCUCAUCAGCUUCUCGGUCUGCAUAUCAGAACAAGACUGAGCCACAUCAGUGAAAACUCAAUAGUCAACAAGCCGGUACUGCUGAUACAAGAGAAAACACUUUGAAAGAGCACUUUAAUCACCAACUGAUGACUUUCGUAACAGUUUUUGGGGCAUCAGUUCAUAAUUCAGAAAAGACGAAAGAGCCAUCUAAAGGAAAUAAUGUUAACAACUCCAUUAUAAAAUAUCUGAAGCAAUGCCUUGCCAGCUGUCACCACUGCGAUAAAAUAAUACCUUGACAGCCAAACACUGGCUGGAGCUAAGGGUUCCCCUAAAUGAUUUUUUUUUUUUUUUUUUUUUGGAGAACCAUUUAUCAGAAGCCUGUAGGUUGCUAAUCAUGGGAACUGGGGGAGGCGUCUCUAUCCUGCAGCAGUGAGUUAGGGUGUUGGGGACACAGGACUGAGAAUUUCUGGGAAGCCCAGUAGACUCUUUAAUCAUGCCCGAAUGCCAUUUCCGAUCUAGUCAAACAUUUGUGAGCUGCCAGAGGAGACCUGUGCAAUCAAUCUUGAUAGCGUAUGUAAAAUUACCCGGGACUCUCGUUUGGGAUUAAGUUAAGAGUAUCUUAGUAAUCAGGGUUCUUCGUUCUCUUUCAAACAUCAUUUGUCAGAUUUGCAGCACAGUCUUCAACUACAGAAAGGUGGGAUUUAGAAAGCAGUUGCUACUUACUCAUAGUUGAGGCCCUCAGAUCUAAUUAGCCAUCUUUACACAACUCUGUGUUGGGAUGAAAAUGUCAAGUACCUGCUUUUCAUCAACACAUUGGAUAACUGCUAGCCAUCAAUUUAUAGUUGUCAGCACGGAAUACAAAUGAAUAUUGACUCCUUUAAAGGAAAGGGUACCGAGGUUUCUGAUAAACAAUAUAUGGAAAAGAAAAAAACACCCACAGUGAUACUUGUAAUGCAUUGGUAGUACUCUAAUAUAAUACUCACGUUCUAACAGGGACACAUGUUACAUAACGUUUUGUUUUGGGGUUUUUCUAUUUUUAAAUGCAUGCUUAUUUAAAAGAAAGGCUAGAUUCCUGUCUUAAAGUACACUUAACUAUGCGAUGUAUACAAAACAUCAUGGCACCUCUAUAUAUUCAAUGACUGCGAGAGAGUAGGAGACGUUCUAAGAUUGCUUUCUUACAGGGACAUUGCACGGCAAAUGCUGAAUUAAUCCAUUUAUGCAAAAAGUAGAGUUAGGAAAGGAACACACCUUGGAAGUUAGAUUAGGCUGGGAACACGAAGGGCAGGGAAGGAGAACAGCUCUUUUGAAGGCGAGUGGUGUUUGCACGACUGAAUUCCCAGGACUGAAGUGAGCAGGUUUGGCUGAAAGGAAAGACACACACCUCUUCAAACCCUUGCUCCCACUGUUACUCAUCUGGUGUCUGUGGGGCAAGGCACACACUUCCCACAUGCAAAGCCAGCCACCUUAUCCAGUGACUAUGUGCAUACACCACGAGGAGCAGAAUCAUUAUUUAUCAGAGAGCUCUGGUGGAGAUGAGGGGGUGAGACCUCAUGUCAUGGGAGUAAUGGAUGGCACUCGCCACACCCUCUCUGUCUUCCCCUGUCUCCCGGUAACACUCCCCAGGAGAGUCUAUAACCACUCUACCAGAACUGUGCCAUGCAGGGUUUCAGAGGUCAGCUCCAGCUACCUUGGUCCUGGGGACACAGCCAUUCCUCACAGACAAUUACAGCUUCAAUCUCUGAUUGGAAACAAAUGAAAGCAGCCUGCUCCAAAAGGCCACGUGUUCCCUUGCGCACUGUCCAGAGGUGAUCUUGCAGGGGACACAUUUGCCACGCGUUCCAUUUGUUCAGGAAGUAAUGUACGGGAAUGAGGCUCAUGGGCCACCCUGGCGAGGUGACCACGCUAGUACGUCACCCUCUUCCACCGUGAUACUUCUAUAAUUCAAUUCCACAGCUCAAUCUGGAAUAAGUGCCAAUCAGUAAACACGCCAACUUCCACCUAAGUGAUGGGAGGCAGCAGAGGAGAACAGAACAGAGCUAUCUACUCCAAAGGCUUCACCCCUGCACACUGCCUGGCUAUUUCAGAGAGUUACAGCAAACGAGGACUAUUCAGGUGGUAACAAUGACUGGCAUUUGUGGAGAGGUUACGAUUUGCCAGGCUUUGUGCGGAGAGCUUUGGAAGCAUUGUCGUCUAAUGGUCACACAGGCCUAUGAGCCAGGGACAAUUACUAUUCCCCUUUACAGAGAAGCCUAGAAGCCUACUUGGGAUCAUAGAUGAAAAGCAAUGGGUCCAAAGCCACACCGAUCAUGGUGUAGACUGAGUGAGUCCAGACUCCUUAUCAGCUGGCACAUGAAACCGGCUCCCCAGAUCGGUGACACAAAUAUUUGCACAUGGCCCUUUUCCUCAUCUAUGUCUCCCACGGGCCUCCGGCUUCCUACACCUCUCUGCCUGCUCUGCCGCCGCCUCAGCCAGGCCAUGUCUGGCCACAAAGUGACACCGUGACGCAGCCUAAAAUGAAACGUAGGGGCUGUCAGGUUUUUGCUUGAGAAAUGUUAAAAGGGUAUUUUUUUUUUUCCCCAUUGCUGAUUUAGUCAGGGAGCUAAAUUGAAAUGAUACCCAUUUGGAUGAACAAAAAUGAGGACUCAGCACCACCCUGGACGAUCCAGAAGCAAGUGACCCCUUAAGAAAAAGGUCAUCAGAUUCAACGGGCCAUCUCCAGAUGCCAGAUGUGCCCAACUAAGGAAUCUACUCUUGGAUGAUAGAAUUUUUUUCAAAGCAUGGAGGUCCCAAACAAGUGAAAUUGACAUAAUUCUCACCUUACCAGUUCCCACGCAUGCACGUGCAGGCUCUGAGGUGCUUCAUUGGGUUUGCAGAGAAAAUACCGAUCCAUCCCGCUUACUCCCCCUCCCCCAAUGCUUCCUAACAAAACCAUCCCUACCAAUUCCUGCAAACUGACUCCCACAAAGGCCUUGAACCAUCCAGGCUUAGAUACACGCAAAUUCUUCCUGAAGGUAUUGAAAUGGCAUCUUUCUUCCUAAGCCCUUGAGAGUUUUGCUAAUUCACAGGCUGUUCUUAACACUUACGAUAUUAGAGAAAUGCACUCAAUUUUCCCAACAGAAAAAGAGAUGAUGAUAGGAAAACCAAUAUUUGUUUUUAGACUUGAAGCCUAUGAGAAGGUGUUCUGGAGAAUCCACAUACAUCACAUUCCGAAUCUUAGCCCUCCAGAAGAGAACAUGCCUGCUCUAUCGAGACAGAUGUGGACACUGUGUCUGGAUAUUGAUCUUCUGCCAUAAGAAAAACAGUUUCUUUGCUAGAAACAGGUUCACAAGGGUAGAAAAACUUCAGGCUCCUAUUUGAUUGCCUCUCCUAUGACAGGUGAAGAGUAUCACUCCCUAAGUGACACUGGGGACAGUGUCUGGGGGGGCUUGAAGGCAGUUGCUCUGAGAGAAAGUGACGUGCCAGUCCAUUGUCAUAAAUGCAAUUGGUUCACACAUAGGCCACAACCUCAAAUUUCACAGAACACCUUGACAGAAAUGGGUGUGGGGGUGGGGAGAAUGUCACGCACUUUCAAAGGACAUCCAUGUGUUCCACAGGCUUCUAUUCACUGAGAACUUAUGUGCAGUCCCGGGCUCGUUCCUGUUUGUGGUUCGGGCCUCCCAAAGAGGACGUCCCCAAAUAUGACGUCAGGCUAAAGGAAAGCAUCAUACAAAGGCCAUGGCAUUCUCCCUGACAAAAGAUGUGAAUUUCUAGCAAGAUCACUAAGGAGUUUCAAGAGGUUGACUUGAAGACAAGGGUAGAAUGAGUUGAAAAGUCAACAGGAAUGGAGCUCUUACUCCUCUGAGAAAUAUUCGCAGGAAGGAGCCUGGAGACCAGCAGGUCCAGGAUGGAAAGCUGGAAAGAAUUCUUUCCUAAAACUGAAGUUCUGAGGAAGAAUAGGCAGCCAGUCCCAAGCAUCCAAAGACAUCCAAAGCCAUGUUUGUUCUGGGAAGGCCAAGGCAUGGGAGGAUGUUUGCUUGGACUAGCAGCAGGACUGAAGGGCAGGGUGACCUUGGUAGGCUGUCAGGGCCUGUGGUUCCAAGUUGACAGACUGUUCUGAGCUUUUCCAUGAAAUGAAUGAAGCCCUUUUCAUACCGCCUUUGUGUUCCAGAACUCUUGCCAUUAGUGUUCCAAAGGAUCUGUGACAGAUUUAUAUCUAGUCUUAAAAGACCUGAGUUGUAACAUUCAGAAUUCUCUUAUCUUUCUGAGACCCUAGACAUGUGUUGUUGGGGUUGGGGUGAGGGUGCUCCCAAUGAUGGAAGGAAACAGAAAUGGCUUAAGGGGAGUCCAUGUGGGUGAUUGCAUGCACCCUGGUUCCCUCUUUCAUUUGUGCUUGCCCAAACGGUUCUAGAACUGCCUAGACCUGAGAGGCUGUCUCAUUACUACUAAGAGAAGGUAUUGUUGACCAUGUCCAUAUGCAUGGAAGAAUUCCCUGGGCAUUCCAUUCCCUUUGAUACUGUCUGGAAUACAACAUUGCUCAAACUAUAGUUGCUUUUUGAAUGGGGAUGAAAAAUCACAUUAGGGUAUCCAUUCUUCCAUGGUUACUUUGAAAUGGCCAAGCAGAAGUGCCAUAGAAAUCUGCCACCAAAAUAAACAUCUAACUGAUGGUGUCAUCCUUCUACAUGGAACACAUCUGAUGGCAUGUCACUGACAUUUUCCAACUGAGCCACCUUGAGGCCUGUGCUGAAGGACUGCUGAUGGUUUUAUAAGAGAUAAAAGAAGAGAUUUUGUGUGUGUUUGAAACAUUUUACAUUUUGACUCUGUUUAACCUCUGUUAUGGUUAUGCCUAGCUUGUGUACUGUAUAUAAGUGUAUGUAUCUGUAUUAGCCAUGUAUACUUAAAUAAACCUUUGAAAUUAAUGAGCUCAGUUCUAAUAUAAUACUGCAAAGAAUAUCUUCAUAGUACAGGUGAAACCAACAGCUUUCCCCUUCCCUUCUUCUGAACAGAAUGGCUCUACCCAGUCUGCCUGCCAAAUUACGUCUUUUAAAAAACCAAGUAGCUAUUUUGUGAGCAGGCAGGAUGUCAUGACACACCCCAAACAGUUUGUUUAGAUUUUAAGGUUGACAGUUCAUUUACACUUAUACCCCAUAUGUACUCCACGACACGGUCCUGAAAGGCACUGAAGGAGGAGGGAGAAAAAAACCACACCGGGUCUCUUCUGGGGCCACAUCAUGGUAAGGAAUUAACUCAACUCUGUCUUCCAGAAACAAAUUAAGAGGAUGUACUUUGGAAUAAUUCAGAUCUCACAGGCAGGCCCCCGAUGUCCAGACCCACGGUUUCAAACCGGGCAUGUCUGCGUUAGGUGUGCGCAUCUCCAUCGAGAGUUCACUGGAACAGAUCAUUUCUCAGGCUCAAAGACGUUGGCCUGGUUAACAUUUCAUUUAGAACAUACUGUGGCGAGCAUCUCAUUUAUAUUACUUCCAUAAUUAAUGGCGAUAGCUUAGGCACUGCCUUUACACAGAGAGAUCUCUUCACAGUGGUCGAUGGGUAAUGAGAAACAAUAGAUAUUUCAUUCACCAGCAGCGUGUUGCUAGUUACUAGGAAAUGAUCGUGUGUGCUGUUGUUGCUUUAAUUGCCCGGGUAAAUAAUUCUGCCUCGGUGUUAGCAUUUUAAAGCACUUGAUGCAAAUAAACUAGAAACCAAACAAACAAAACAAUUAACCUUGAUUAUGCAACACCUUAGCAUAGAAAGUUACAAAGGUAUGUCUUUUUUAAAGAUUGCAUUAUAUCAUGCAAAUAUUAUCUAAAUAUGCAUGUGCUGACUACUCUUCUACUAUAUUUUAGGAAAUACAAUUAGGCUGCCUUUCUCUUCCCCUAUGUAGACUGUAAAUAACUGUAGAUCUUUCUCUUGUUUCCCUAUGUAAAUAUAUGUAAAUACUAACAAACUAUGCAUGCUGCUAUUCUAGGCAAUUUCAGGUACUUUUAUAAUAUGAAGGCAUGUACUUGAACUCGUUUGUUAAGGGGUGGGGGGCGGGAAAUUCUCUCAAACUCUUUAAUGCUGAAUAGAAAUUAAAGAUUUCUUCCUA